AUCCUAAGCUUCCGGUUACCUGGCGGGCCUGAGAGGCCGCUCUCCCGCCUCCGCCCUGGACGCUCCUGCACUGCAGACUCCCCCGAGACGGGGGCCCCGGACCCCAGGGCUCAGAAGGACUCAACCAGGACUUUCCAAAAGUUGCCGCGGGGCCUUCCAAUCCCCUACAGUUGAUCCAACACACAUUUCCUGAAGAUCAGCAGCGUCCCAGGCACUGGACUUCGCAGCUUUUAGAGGCAGAAAGGGCAAAGCGGCCAUCUCCCAAGUCUGGCCAGGCUGAUGGAGGCAGCGAGGAUUCUCUGCACCUUGACAUUCAGAAACUGAAGGAGAAGAGGGACC
Molecule: long non-coding RNA, 339 nt
Organism: Panthera uncia (snow leopard)
Lineage: Eukaryota; Metazoa; Chordata; Mammalia; Carnivora; Felidae
Exons: 4
Source: RefSeq, a predicted model, not a curated record